GAUGAACGCUGGCGGCGUGCCUAAUACAUGCAAGUCGAGCGAACAGACGAGGAGCUUGCUCCUCUGACGUUAGCGGCGGACGGGUGAGUAACACGUGGAUAACCUACCUAUAAGACUGGGAUAACUUCGGGAAACCGGAGCUAAUACCGGAUAACAUGUUGAACCGCAUGGUUCAACAGUGAAAGACGGUCUUGCUGUCACUUAUAGAUUGAUCCGCGCCGCAUUAGCUAGUUGGUAAGGUAACGGCUUACCAAGGCAACGAUGCGUAGCCGACCUGAGAGGGUGAUCGGCCACACUGGAACUGAGACACGGUCCAGACUCCUACGGGAGGCAGCAGUAGGGAAUCUUCCGCAAUGGGCGAAAGCCUGACGGAGCAACGCCGCGUGAGUGAUGAAGGUCUUCGGAGCGGAAAACUCUGUUAUUAGGGAAGAACAAAUGUGUAAGUAACUAUGCACGUCUUGACGGUACCUAAUCAGAAAGCCACGGCUAACUACGUG
Molecule: ribosomal RNA, 497 nt
Filed under: uncultured bacterium
Lineage: Bacteria
Description: partial 16S ribosomal RNA
Rfam family: Bacterial small subunit ribosomal RNA
Source: RNAcentral